Molecule: ribosomal RNA, 371 nt
Filed under: uncultured bacterium
Lineage: Bacteria
Description: bacterial SSU rRNA
Rfam family: Bacterial small subunit ribosomal RNA
Source: RNAcentral
GGGGGGGGCAAGCGUUGUUCGGAAUUACUGGGCGUAAAGGGCUCGUAGGCGGCCAACUAAGUCAGACGUGAAAUCCCUCGGCUUAACCGGGGAACUGCAUCUGAUACUGGAUGGCUUGAGAUUGGGAGAGGGAUGCGGAAUUCCAGGUGUAGCGGUGAAAUGCGUAGAUAUCUGGAGGAACACCGGUGGCGAAGGCGGCAUCCUGGACCAACACUGACGCUGAGGAGCGAAAGCCAGGGGAGCAAACGGGAUUAGAUACCCCGGUAGUCCUGGCCCUAAACGAUGAAUGCUUGGUGUGGCGGGUAUCGAUCCCUGCCGUGCCGAAGCUAACGCAUUAAGCAUUCCGCCUGGGGAGUACGGUCGCAAGGCUG